This 466-nucleotide ribosomal RNA is filed under the name uncultured bacterium. Its description in RNAcentral is "partial 16S ribosomal RNA". It matches the Rfam family "Bacterial small subunit ribosomal RNA", at positions 28 to 507 of the family's 1533-position model. The record is from RNAcentral.
GAUGAACGCUGGCGGCGUGCUUAACACAUGCAAGUCGAACGAUGAAGCCCAGCUUGCUGGGUGGAUUAGUGGCGAACGGGUGAGUAACACGUGAGUAACCUGCCCUUAACUCUGGGAUAAGCCUGGGAAACUGGGUCUAAUACCGGAUAGGAGCGUCCACCGCAUGGUGGGUGUUGGAAAGAUUUAUCGGUUUUGGAUGGACUCGCGGCCUAUCAGCUUGUUGGUGAGGUAAUGGCUCACCAAGGCGACGACGGGUAGCCGGCCUGAGAGGGUGACCGGCCACAGUGGGAGUGAAACAGGGCCAGGACCCCAGGGGGGGGAGGGGGGGGGAAAUAUGGCAAAGGGGGCGCAAGCUGGAGGCAGCGCCGCGGGGGGGGGGAGGACGGCUUUGGGUUUGUAAACCUUUUCCAGUGGGAAAGAAGGGAAGGGGACGGUACCUGAAGAAAAGCCCCCGGCAAACUACGUG